UUGUGGAGAAGGACGCCGAAGGUGGGGCUGAUGACUGGGGUGAAGUCGUAACAAGGUAGCCGUACCGGAAGGUGCGGCUGGAUCACCUCCUAACAGGGAGACAAUAAAUUGAUUGUGAUGUCUAAGUUAUUUAUUCUUAGGCCGCAAUCCUGUCACCUUAAGGUCGAUCGGUACCUCAGAUUUUGAAUUAGUUUUAUAAUUGAUUCUUUGAUUUCAGUUCCUAAACUUGUCUAGGUCACACCCAACAAAGGUUUCUCCUGGGCCAUUAGCUCAGGUGGUUAGAGCGCACCCCUGAUAAGGGUGAGGUCCCUGGUUCAAGUCCAGGAUGGCCCAUUCGUUGUUGGGGGUAUAGCUCAGUUGGUAGAGCGCCUGCUUUGCAAGCAGGAUGUCAGCGGUUCGAGUCCGCUUACCUCCACUGAAAACUAUCCUGAUAACUAAAUUUCUGGAGAAAAAAAUUGUAGAUGUGGCUUAGAAUUGUCUAUUUGAAAAGAACCUAGCUUCUUGUCAUCUUUUUAUAGUUGAUAAAAUGCUGGGCUCGCAUGGAUUAUUUCCAUGAGAUUUCAGUAGAACCUUGAAAACUGCAUAGAUUAGAAAGAAUAAAGCAUCUCAUGGAUGCAUAGUUCUGUUUUUAUAAUUUAGCCUUAAAACUAAAUUAUUUAAUCCUAGAAUUCAUGUUUAAUUCUUGAGUAAUAGCCGAGCACAAUUGAUUUUGUGAUUGUAUUAAAGGUCAAGCUACAAAGGGCUCAUGGCGGAUACCUU
RNAcentral lists this unclassified non-coding RNA (759 nucleotides) under uncultured Prochlorococcus sp. RNAcentral's name for it is "partial 16S-23S ribosomal RNA intergenic spacer". The stretch from base 343 to 415 matches the Rfam family "tRNA". Lineage: Bacteria; Bacillati; Cyanobacteriota; Cyanophyceae; Synechococcales; Prochlorococcaceae. The record is from RNAcentral.